This 550-nucleotide ribosomal RNA is filed under the name uncultured bacterium. RNAcentral describes it as "bacterial SSU rRNA". It matches the Rfam family "Bacterial small subunit ribosomal RNA", at positions 355 to 896 of the family's 1533-position model. The record is from RNAcentral.
UAGGGAAUCUUCGGCAAUGGACGAAAGUCUGACCGAGCAACGCCGCGUGAGUGAAGAAGGUUUUCGGAUCGUAAAGCUCUGUUGUAAGAGAAGAACGAGUGUGAGAGUGGAAAGUUCACACUGUGACGGUAUCUUACCAGAAAGGGACGGCUAACUACGUGCCAGCAGCCGCGGUAAUACGUAGGUCCCGAGCGUUGUCCGGAUUUAUUGGGCGUAAAGCGAGCGCAGGCGGUUAGAUAAGUCUGAAGUUAAAGGCUGUGGCUUAACCAUAGUACGCUUUGGAAACUGUUUAACUUGAGUGCAAGAGGGGAGAGUGGAAUUCCAUGUGUAGCGGUGAAAUGCGUAGAUAUAUGGAGGAACACCGGUGGCGAAAGCGGCUCUCUGGCUUGUAACUGACGCCGAGGCUCGAAAGCGUGGGGAGCAAACAGGAUUAGAUACCCUGGUAGUCCACGCCGUAAACGAUGAGUGCUAGGUGUUAGACCCUUUCCGGGGUUUAGUGCCGCAGCUAACGCAUUAAGCACUCCGCCUGGGGAGUACGACCGCAAGGUUG